Long non-coding RNA from Sander lucioperca (pikeperch), 476 nucleotides. RefSeq lists it as uncharacterized. The transcript is spliced from 2 exons. NCBI's taxonomy places the organism in Eukaryota, Metazoa, Chordata, Actinopteri, Perciformes, Percidae. The record is from RefSeq and is a predicted model, not a curated record.
UGUGUGUGUGUGUGUGUGUGUGUGUGUGUGUGUGUGUGUGUGUGUGUGUGUGUUUGUGUGUGUGUGUGUGUGUGUAAAUACUAGAAGUAAUCACAGAUAAACCUUGAAAUAUGCUGUAUAUUAGAGUGUUACAAUGAUGAGUAACUAUUUAUUGAUCUAUUUAUUGCUUGAUUAUUUAUUGAUGCAGCAAUGGCCUCCAACAAAGUUCAGGUUAACUUUCAUUACAGCGUCACUAUCAGGCGGGUUGACCUGAUGGUAUUUAUUACAAGUGAUUUCAAGCAUGAUUGGCUUCAAUCUGAUACGGCUGUUCAAGAACUGCACUAUCAAUCAACUCGGUAACCAAUGGUGGCUUUCUCUUCCCUGUUUUAGAUUUGUAGUCGUUCUGGAUUUGUUGUGUAAUUGAACAUGUCUCCUCUGUAUCUCUAGGCAUUAUACAAGAAACAGAAAUGUCUGAAUAAAAACCGAAUUUGAACAUA